Molecule: long non-coding RNA, 559 nt
Filed under: Homo sapiens (human)
Lineage: Eukaryota; Metazoa; Chordata; Mammalia; Primates; Hominidae
Description: HSALNT0406939
Source: RNAcentral
GACUUCUCAUUCUAUUAGUUCCCAUGGGAACUGAUUGUUACAAACAGCCUGGCACUUCUCUCCUCUCUCUCUCUCUCUCUCUCUCUCUCUCUCUCUCGCUUCCUCUGUUUUUGUGUGAUCUCUGCACAUGAGUAGAAGCAUCCUGAAUCCCUCACCAGAUGCCCAGUGAUCCAGCCAGCAGAAUUGUGAGCCAAGAUUUGUUACUUGAUCUCCAUGUGUAUAUGCAAAUAUUUGCCUGUAUUUAUUGUCAUCAUCAUACUUUGGGCACUGGCCAUGCUACCUCUGUGAGGAAAGAAGGGAAAGGAAAGGAAAAAUAAGAAAAGAAGAAAACAUCCAUGGUCUCACUCUGUCACCAGGCUGGAAUGACAGACUGAUAGGCAGACUCACAUAGCCUUCUUGCCUUUCCCUGAGGAGUUGACUCCAAUUGUCCUACACAUUCCUUCUCUAUGAUAUAGAAGCCCUGGGUCUCAGCGGUAAUGGCCUGGGAUUCACCAUCUCCUCUUGUGGCCACCUGAGACAUGGCUUCUGUUCCUAAGCCCCUAUUAAAUGUUCCUUUCAG